RNAcentral lists this ribosomal RNA (464 nucleotides) under uncultured bacterium. RNAcentral's name for it is "bacterial SSU rRNA". It matches the Rfam family "Bacterial small subunit ribosomal RNA", at positions 43 to 507 of the family's 1533-position model. The record is from RNAcentral.
CGUGCCUAACACAUGCAAGUCGAACGAGAAUCAUUUGAACAGAGGCUUCGGCCGACGGAAUUUUGAGGAAAGUGGCGAACGGGUGAGUAACGCGUGAGAAACCUGCCUUCAUGGGGGACAACAGUUGGAAACGACUGCUAAUACCGCAUGAUGUAGCGAGGGGGCAUCCUCUUGCUACCAAAGCUUUAUGUGCUGAAAGAUGGUCUCGCGUCUGAUUAGCUAGUUGGUGGGGUAACGGCUCACCAAGGUGACGAUCAGUAGCCGGUCUGAGAGGAUGAACGGCCACAUUGGGACUGAGAUACGGCCCAGACUCCUACGGGAGGCAGCAGUGGGGAAUAUUGGGCAAUGGGGGAAACCCUGACCCAGCAACGCCGCGUGAAGGAAGAAGUAUUUCGGUAUGUAAAGCUCUAUCAGCAGGGAAGAAAAUGACGGUACCUGACUAAGAAGCCCCGGCUAACUACGUG